Lepisosteus oculatus (spotted gar) is the source of this 119-nucleotide ribosomal RNA. The record is from Ensembl. Lineage: Eukaryota; Metazoa; Chordata; Actinopteri; Semionotiformes; Lepisosteidae.
GCCAGCAGCCAUAUCACCCUGCAACUCACAACUGGCAACCCACUGAAGCUAAGCAGGUAUGAGCCUGGUCAGUACCUGAGUGGGAGUCCUCCUGGGAAAAAUUAAGGUUGCUGCUGGAA